This 95-nucleotide ribosomal RNA is filed under the name uncultured bacterium. RNAcentral's name for it is "partial 16S ribosomal RNA". It matches the Rfam family "Bacterial small subunit ribosomal RNA", at positions 1388 to 1482 of the family's 1533-position model. The record is from RNAcentral.
CACCGCCCGUCACGCCAUGGAAGUUGGUUCUACCUGAAGACUGUGCGCUAACCGCAAGGGAGCAGCAGGCCACGGUAGGGUCAAUGACUGGGGCG